RNAcentral lists this small RNA (448 nucleotides) under Drosophila mojavensis. RNAcentral's name for it is "GI25694". The record is from RNAcentral. Lineage: Eukaryota; Metazoa; Arthropoda; Insecta; Diptera; Drosophilidae.
UGCUGCAAAAGGACAAUAUAGUAUUCUAUAUGUAUGAUCUGUAAUCAGUAUGAUUCAGCUGAUGGGAACAGACGCUGGGAAUGUAACUUCUGUUGUAUAAGCCUUCUAAAUAUAGUAGAGUUUCUUAUGUAACCACAAUUUCACCUUGAGACUAUCUGGCCAGAAAGAAACUCAAGCAAGACGAAUCGAAAAACUAUAUGCAUUAUUCGGAUGUAGAUGUAGGGGACUCUAUUUGGCGCACAUCAGAGCAGAGCAGAGCAAUACAACUAACUAUGUAUAUAUAUAAUGUAAUUCGAAACCUGCAUGAAUCAUUCCAAGAGUGAUAUGGCAUAGCUCCUGUAUAUCUAUAGUCGACUCAGCAUAAGAUUAUCAAUUUGUCAACCUAACUCUGAGCUAAGCUAACUUCCUAUAGCAGCCAAAUCAGUUCUGUAUAUAUAAUAAACCGAGA